RNAcentral lists this ribosomal RNA (319 nucleotides) under uncultured eukaryote. Its description in RNAcentral is "partial 18S ribosomal RNA". It matches the Rfam family "Eukaryotic small subunit ribosomal RNA", at positions 1470 to 1796 of the family's 1831-position model. The record is from RNAcentral.
CCCUUAGAUGUUCUGGGCAGCACGCGCGCUACAAUGGUCUUCGCAAACGGAUGCAUUCUCGAAGGAGAAUGCCAAUCUUGGAAUCUAUGCCUUGGUCGGGACAGUUGCUUGCAAUUUUUCGACUCGAACCAGGAAUUCCUUUUAAUCGUGAUUCAUCACAUCACGAUGAAUACGUCCCUGCCCUUUGUACACACCGCCCGUCGCUCCUACCGAUCGAAGAGUUAGGUGAAUUGUUUUGAUCGAUAAGAUUUGACUAUGGUCAACUCUCGUUGUGAAAUUCUGUGAAUCUGACUGUUUAGAGGAAGGAAAAGUCGUAACA